AGAGUUUGAACCUGGCUCAGGACGAACGCUGGCGGCGUGCCUAAUACAUGCAAGUCGAACGCUUUUCCUUUCACCGGAGCUUGCUCCACCGAAAGAAAAAGAGUGGCGAACGGGUGAGUAACACGUGGGUAACCUGCCCAUCAGAAGGGGAUAACACUUGGAAACAGGUGCUAAUACCGUAUAACACUAUUUUCCGCAUGGAAGAAAGUUGAAAGGCGCUUUUGCGUCACUGAUGGAUGGACCCGCGGUGCAUUAGCUAGUUGGUGAGGUAACGGCUCACCAAGGCAACGAUGCAUAGCCGACCUGAGAGGGUGAUCGGCCACACUGGGACUGAGACACGGCCCAGACUCCUACGGGAGGCAGCAGUAGGGAAUCUUCGGCAAUGGACGAAAGUCUGACCGAGCAACGCCGCGUGAGUGAAGAAGGUUUUCGGAU
Molecule: ribosomal RNA, 435 nt
Filed under: Enterococcus casseliflavus
Lineage: Bacteria; Bacillati; Bacillota; Bacilli; Lactobacillales; Enterococcaceae
Description: bacterial SSU rRNA
Rfam family: Bacterial small subunit ribosomal RNA
Source: RNAcentral